RNAcentral lists this ribosomal RNA (255 nucleotides) under uncultured bacterium. Its description in RNAcentral is "partial 16S ribosomal RNA". It matches the Rfam family "Bacterial small subunit ribosomal RNA", at positions 57 to 305 of the family's 1533-position model. The record is from RNAcentral.
GCAAGUCGAACGAGAACGGGUUAUAGCUUGCUAUAACUGUCAGCUAAGUGGCGCACGGGUGAGUAAUAUAUAGGUAAUGUGCCCUAGAGAAGAGGAUAACAGUUGGAAACGACUGCUAAUACUCUAUAUGCCUUUAAGACAAAAGUCUGCAAGGGAAAUAUUUAUAGCUAUAGGAUCGGCCUGUACGGUAGCAGCGAGUGGGGGAGGGAAUGGAGCACAAAGGCAAUGACGCCUAACUGGUUUGAGAGGAUGAUC